This 390-nucleotide long non-coding RNA is filed under the name Mytilus galloprovincialis (Mediterranean mussel). Lineage: Eukaryota; Metazoa; Mollusca; Bivalvia; Mytilida; Mytilidae. The record is from RNAcentral.
ACAGACGCAAAUUGUCAGUGGGGUUAAAGGUCGUUACAUAUGUAUUGAAAGCUAGACUGAAAAUGUGUAUUAACAAAUUGAGUUGAUGUGUACAUGUCUUCAUUCAAAUGCAUUGACUGAUAAAAAAAGGAGGCUUCAACUUCCACCCCUCUCUAUGAAUUAGUUGUUUGAGUGUUUGAAUAUGGAGUUUGUUAAUAAAUAGCUGCACUGUAAGCGCAUGAUAUGUCUUGAUUCCUUUUAAGCUUGCUUAAAGGUUGAACUAUUUUGUUUUGUACAAUUAUUAGUCUAUUUGUUUUCUCAUUUCAUUUGUUUUAUAUUUGUCAUUUUAAGGUCUUUUAUAGCUGACUGUGCUGUAUGAGCUUUUGUCAUUGUUGAAGGCUAUUUGGGGAC